GUGAGUGCGACGAAGAUGGAGAGUCGUGGCAGACUGUAAAUCUGUUGUUGUAAAACUGAGAUGGUUCGAAUCCAUCCACUCCCA
This 84-nucleotide transfer RNA is filed under the name Chitinophagaceae bacterium. Its description in RNAcentral is "tRNA-Tyr". It matches the Rfam family "tRNA". Rfam says of the family: Transfer RNA (tRNA) molecules are approximately 80 nucleotides in length. Their secondary structure includes four short double-helical elements and three loops (D, anti-codon, and T loops). Further hydrogen bonds mediate the characteristic L-shaped molecular structure. tRNAs have two regions of fundamental functional importance: the anti-codon, which is responsible for specific mRNA codon recognition, and the 3' end, to which the tRNAs corresponding amino acid is attached (by aminoacyl-tRNA synthetases). tRNAs cope with the degeneracy of the genetic code in two manners: having more than one tRNA (with a specific anti-codon) for a particular amino acid; and 'wobble' base-pairing, i.e. permitting non-standard base-pairing at the 3rd anti-codon position. Lineage: Bacteria; Pseudomonadati; Bacteroidota; Chitinophagia; Chitinophagales; Chitinophagaceae. The record is from RNAcentral.